GACGUAGGGUGCGAGCGUUGUCCGGAUUUAUUGGGCGUAAAGAGCUCGUAGGCGGCUCGUCGCGUCGACCGUGAAAACUUGGGGCUUAACCCUAAGCUUGCGGUUGAUACGGGCGGGCUAGAGUUCGGUGGGGGAGACUGGAAUACUUGGUGUAGCAGUGAAAUGCGUAGAUAUCAAGUGGAACACCAGUGGCGAAGGCGAGUCCCUGGACAACUCCUGACACUGAGGCACGAAAGCUAGGGGAGCAAACAGG
Molecule: ribosomal RNA, 253 nt
Filed under: uncultured prokaryote
Description: partial 16S ribosomal RNA
Rfam family: Bacterial small subunit ribosomal RNA
Source: RNAcentral